Molecule: long non-coding RNA, 232 nt
Filed under: Lathyrus oleraceus (garden pea)
Lineage: Eukaryota; Viridiplantae; Streptophyta; Magnoliopsida; Fabales; Fabaceae
Description: Pisum sativum (pea) long non-coding RNA (PSAT_LNC021640)
Source: RNAcentral
UCUUUCACCUUAUGCAUGAAAUGCAUGUGUGAACAGUGCACGAAUUUCUUUUCAAUUCCACUUAAAAUCUGAUUUUGGAGCCAAUGGUGAUGGUCAAAAGUUCAAGCCAUGCACCAAAUUUUAAUUUUAAUUUUUCCCUCCAAAAAGCCAAUGAAUUAUCAAAUGCUCAUAUGAAUAUAAUUGGUGCAAUGCAAUGCAAGAUUUGGAAACUAGAGGUCAAAAGGAGAAAAAU